Small nuclear RNA from Molossus molossus (Pallas's mastiff bat), 105 nucleotides. The record is from RefSeq and is a predicted model, not a curated record. Lineage: Eukaryota; Metazoa; Chordata; Mammalia; Chiroptera; Molossidae.
UGCUCAUUUAGGCAGCUGUAGACUAGAAUCAGAGCGAUAUGAAGCAGAUUAGCACGGCCCUUGUGCAAAAAUGACAUGUAAAUUCUUGAAGCGUCCCACAUUUAA